RNAcentral lists this long non-coding RNA (1183 nucleotides) under Amphibalanus amphitrite. RNAcentral describes it as "uncharacterized LOC122384432". Lineage: Eukaryota; Metazoa; Arthropoda; Thecostraca; Balanomorpha; Balanidae. The record is from RNAcentral.
UUUUUUAUAAUGACAGAAGGAACGUGGAAGAAAAAACAUUUUGUGCAGCAUGUGAAAACAAGGAAAUAGAAUGAAAGAAGGGCUGCUACUUUUCAUGCUCCCGAAACCAGCCAUCUCAUCAUAGCAUGUUGCAUUGGAGCUCUGCUGGAGUUUGCUGAUGACAGGAUGCUGAAGGGCUGAAGCUGGUAGCUCUGGCAGGAGUCCAGUGUCCACCAGCUCAAGAUCCGACGCCGCCGCGUCGCCGCCGUGCGGCACUCCGCGGAGACGGGGACGGCGGUCAUGAUUGAAGACACCGCAUUUCCCGCCUGGACUGUCCGGUCGGAGACUGGUAAUCCCUCCGGUGAGCCGCACACCGUGGAGCUACUGCACCGCGCGUGUCCACCCGCAGCGCAGUGCCAGCAACGGUGCCGUGAGUGCGACAUCUGCGUGCAUAUGACGCAGUGCGACUGUCACGACUCGCGGCUCAGUGUUCUGUCAGUGUGACAGUGCGGCUCGCGCUCGUUUUAGCGUGGUGCUCUGUUGUAUAUAACCACCUUGAUGGAGACCUAUGGUCCUAUGUGCUGCCGCUUGAGUUUCAAUGUACAGUUUUAUGCAUCAAACUAGCGUAAGUAAAUGGCUGUCAGAGGUCAAUUUGAAGCGCAAUUAGUACCCAUAACCCAGCUGGGUUGAGCGAGUCAUGUGACUAGUCCCGAUGAACGUACUGUUUCGAUGUCGUCAGUCGUAGACUUUUGUAAACCAUUCGUUUCGGAGCUCUGUGUUGUGUUGUUCGGGACUGCAGUUGUUUGAGCAGUUUGCUUUAUGCGUCGUACGCUGACAGAACGCUGGUCGUACACAAGUCAUGUGUUUCCUUUCGCCCCUAAUGUGUUACUGCGGUACCUAUGCAGUUGUAAUGUGUCUCUAUACACUAACUGGUCGCACUUGGUUGUGAAAAUGACACUAGCUGGUCGCACUUGGUUUCAAACUGCGCUUGGAAGUCGUGCAAUUUUAUUUGCAUUUUGCAAUGCAAUUUUAUUGCCGUUACCGUAUUGGUAGAUUGAGAUAGUGUCAGAAGUUGACCAUUUGAUGCGUUGUCACUUGUCAGACGUUGUUGCCUUAGUACUGACCAAUUGAUGGGCCGCGUUUGUGUUCCUGUUAAGAAACGGAUCUCAAUAUAAGGUGACUCAGAGGUAGGAACCUGAAUGCA